RNAcentral lists this unclassified non-coding RNA (256 nucleotides) under plant metagenome. RNAcentral describes it as "partial contains small subunit ribosomal RNA, internal transcribed spacer 1, and 5.8S ribosomal RNA". The stretch from base 1 to 54 matches the Rfam family "Eukaryotic small subunit ribosomal RNA", at positions 1778 to 1831 of the family's 1831-position model. The record is from RNAcentral.
GGAAGUAAAAGCCGUAACAAGGUUUCCGUAGGUGAACCUGCGGAAGGAUCAUUACAGUAGUCGCCCGGGUUGCCGCAAGGCCUCCCGGGUAACCUACCACCCUUUGUUUAUUACACUUUGUUGCUUUGGCAGGCCUGCCCUCGGGCUGCUGGCUCCGGCCGGCGAGCGCUUGCCAGAGGACCUAAACUCUGUUUGUCUAUACUGUCUGAGUACUAUAUAAUAGUUAAAACUUUCAACAACGGAUCUCUUGGUUCUG